Molecule: microRNA precursor, 112 nt
Filed under: Setaria italica (foxtail millet)
Lineage: Eukaryota; Viridiplantae; Streptophyta; Magnoliopsida; Poales; Poaceae
Also listed under: 1 other name
Description: pre miRNA mir-166
Rfam family: mir-166 microRNA precursor family
About the family: This family represents the plant microRNA (miRNA) precursor mir-166. Animal miRNAs are transcribed as ~70nt precursors and subsequently processed by the Dicer enzyme to give a ~22nt product.
Source: Rfam by way of RNAcentral
GUUAAGGGGGUUGUUGUCUGGCUCGGUGUCUCCGGUCGGGAUCGAUUGAUAUCUUCCGGCCUUGCCGGAGCUGUCGACCGGAGAUUUCGGACCAGGCUUCAAUCCCUUUAAC